CUCAGCGAGUUGAUAUGAGGUUGAACAGCCUCAUGAUGUCACUCCUGGAGAAGGAGGUUCACAAUGCUAGAAUUGUCACAGCCCAUCCACAGAAUGCUAACGAAGGCUACAGGCUGAUCGCCACACAGCUUCCAUUCACAGUGCGAGGAGGCGACGUAGGAGCUGAGGCACAGUCUGUGACUGCUAACCGGGUGACACAUCUGUCACCAUCUUUGAAACUCAGCCAUCCUCCCUGUUGGGAUUGUCGGAGGAAUAUUAACCCUUUUGGUGCCAAAUGGGCUUUGCUCAAUGCUGC
Pelobates cultripes (western spadefoot toad) is the source of this 295-nucleotide non-coding RNA. The record is from the annotation of a GenBank genome assembly. NCBI's taxonomy places the organism in Eukaryota, Metazoa, Chordata, Amphibia, Anura, Pelobatidae.